RNAcentral lists this ribosomal RNA (465 nucleotides) under uncultured bacterium. RNAcentral's name for it is "partial 16S ribosomal RNA". It matches the Rfam family "Bacterial small subunit ribosomal RNA", at positions 338 to 795 of the family's 1533-position model. The record is from RNAcentral.
CCUACGGGGGGCAGCAGUAGGGAAUCUUCCACAAUGGGCGAAAGCCUGAUGGAGCAACGCCGCGUGGGUGAAGAAGGUCUUCGGAUCGUAAAACUCUGUUUUUAGAGAAGAAAGAGCGUGAGAGUAACUGUUCACGUUUCGACGGUAUCUAACCAGAAAGCCACGGCUAACUACGUGCCAGCAGCCGCGGUAAUACGUAGGUGGCAAGCGGUAUCCGGAUUUAUUGGGCGUAAAGGGAACGCAGGCGGGCUUUUAAGUCUGAUGUGAAAGCCUUCGGCUUAACCGGAGUAGUGCAUUGGAAACUGGGAGACUUGAGUGCGGAAAAGGAGAGUGGAACUCGAUGUGUAGCGGUGAAAUGCGUAGAUAUAUGGAAGAACACCAGUGGCGAAAGCGGCUCUCUGGUCUGUAACUGACGCUGAGGUUCGAAAGCGUGGGUAGCAAACAGGAUUAGAUACCCCUGUAGUC